This is a long non-coding RNA of Nyctereutes procyonoides (raccoon dog), 1802 nucleotides long. RefSeq lists it as uncharacterized. The record is from RefSeq and is a predicted model, not a curated record. NCBI's taxonomy places the organism in Eukaryota, Metazoa, Chordata, Mammalia, Carnivora, Canidae. The transcript is spliced from 3 exons.
CCAGCUUUGGGCAGCCUCCAGCAGCUCCCCCCGAAGGCCGCGCUGCACCCCUCCCCACCCCCACCUGUCCCCCGCUGCAGGCCCAAGGGCCGCCAGGACAGUGGAUGCUACUGAAGCUGGCUCUAACGGGGCUCUGCCCCCCCACCGGGGGUGUGCAGCCGGCGUCUCGCUAGCCCCCCUGCGGUCAUUCUCCUCAUCUCGCAGGUGGGGACGAGACAGGGCCUCGUGGGACCCAACUUUCCCGCUCAGCGCCUCGCCGCUUGUUAAGGGCUGCCGCCGGCACGGCCACGGACCAGACCAAGCUGGGCCUCGGGCUCCGGGAGCAGGGCGUCCUCGGGCCGGCGCCUCGGCCUCUGAAGGUGAGUCUCCCGUCUCCACCCGGUUCGCUCUUUGUCACCGGAACCCGGGGCUCUGCUGUGCAAGAGGUGUUUGAGGGAGAGAAUGCUACUGGUGUGUGGUCCCCGCGAGCUGACCCGGACGUGCCAGGCUCGUGCCAGCGCCGCGGGAAAUGGGAGGCUGCGUCAGAUGUUCGCCGGCCGGCCGCCAGACUCCGAAGGUUGAAGGGAAGGAGAGUGUGGGGAGCCAAAACCGUCCCCAAAAGAUGCCCACCUCAAACCCCUGACACCUGUGGGAAAAGGGCCUCUGCAGAUGUGAUUUAGGAUCUUGAGACCACCCUUGGUUAUCCUGGUGGGCCCUAACCCAGCGCCAAGCGUCCUCAUAAGACGCAGGCAGAGGUGGGGGGAGGCUGCGUGACCACGGAGGCAGAGCCUGGGUAACGUGGCCACACGCCAAGCCCCGUCCAGAGCUCCCGGAGCUGUGAGAGGCAGCAGGCGUCCCCCCCUCAAACGUCCAGAGGGAGUACAGCCUUGACCGUGGACAACUGGCCUCCAGAUCCAUGAGACGGGGAUUCCCUUGUGUGUGUGCGCGCGAGUCUGUGGCACCUUGUUACGGCGGCGUCAGUGACCACGUGAACGUCUGCACGUCUGUAGACCGUGCUGCCCUCCUGAGCGCAGAUCCUGCCCAGAAGCUGCUAGGCGUGGGGCAGCGUCCCCCAUAUGCAGCCAGGGGCUCUCUGAGCUUCAUCCCGGGGACCCCACGGGAGAGGCACCCGGCACCGGGAUGCCAGGCAUGUCGGAGCAUGCAGCGGGGGUGGGAAGGGAGGAGGCCCCAGGCCUGAGCGGGUGCCCCUGGGAUUUGUGUCCCUCCUGCAGUCCCUGCAGACAAGGGGUGCGGGCCCACAUCCUUGCUGCAAAAUAUUAAAGGGGACGGAGGGAGAGACAGCAAAGCCAGGAAAAAUUCCCUUCGAGCGCCCUUGUCUGAUGGCUUCCUGCCCACGUUGGAGGGAGCCCUUGCCGGGUCAGGGCCCCCCUGCAGCCCUUCUGUGCUGUGUACUGGCCCGUCCACACAAAGGCACGCACACUACAUGUGAUAGGACAUGUCAGAGCUGGAGCUGCAUCUAUAGACACGGGUCUACCUCCUUUUUCCUGCUGCCUCUACUGGUGUUCGGGACAUUCCUCCACUGGUGAGCACUUAGGUGGAUCUCCUGAGCAGCAGGGCGCCAGCCACCCAUCCCUUCAUACGCUGUUGUGAAUACUCACGAGCGUUUCUUCCCAAUGGGAUUGCCGGUUAGUCCCACUUUGACAAAUUCUCCCAAUUUUCUUUCAAGGGGCUUUGAUAAGGGGCACCCGGAUGGCUCAGUGGUUGACCGUCUCUGCCUCCAGCUCAGGGUGUGACCCCGGGGUCCCGGGAUCGAGUCCUGCAUCAGGCUUCCUGCAGGGAGCCUGCUUCUCCCUCUGCCUGUG